CGUUGUCCUGCCCACAGAGGUCUGUGCAUCCCUCCAAGGGUAUGCCUCCCCAGACCAUCACUGAGCAACCACUAAUCCGGUCAUGCUGAAUGAUGUUGCAGGCAGCCUCAUGUUCUCCACGACAUCUCCAGACCCUUUCAUGUCUGUCACAUGUGCUCAGGUUGAACCUGCUCUCAUCUGUGAAAAGCACAGGGCGCUAGUGGCAUACCUGCCAAUUUUGUAUUCCAUGGCAAAUGUCCAAUGAGCCCCACGGUGCUGGGCAGUGAGCACAGGUCCCGCUAGAGGCCAUCGGGCCCUCAGGCCACCUUCAUAAAGUCUGUCUCUGGCCACAGUCAGAAACAUUCACACCAGUGACCUGCUGGAGGUCAUUCUGUAGGGCUCUAGCAGGGCUCCUACUGUUCCUCCUUGCAUAAAGGGGCAGAUACUGGUCCUGCUACUGGGUUAAGGACCUUCUACCACCCUGCCCUGCUCUUCUAGAGCAACUGCCUGUCUCCUGGAAUCUCUUCAUGCUCUUGAGACUACGCUGGGAGACACAGCAAUCUUUCUGCCAAUGGAACAUAUUGGUGUGCCAUUCUGGAGGAGUUGGACUACCUGUGCAACCUCUGUAGGCUCCAGAUACUGGCUUAUGCUACGAGUAGUAACACUGACACUAUCCAAAUGCAACACUAGUGAAAAAUCAGUCAAGAAGGAUAAAGAUGGAAAAAUUACCAGUUGCCACCACCUGUAAAGACCAUUCCUGUUUUGGGGGUCGUCUCAUAGUUGGCCCUCUAGUACACCUGUAGUAAAUUUCGUUGACAUCAAAGCAGGUGAACCUGAUUCACAACCACCUUUGUUGCAUAACUGGCCAGAUCAAUAUCCCACAAUUGUGUUGAGGAGUAUUUAUUUUUUUGAGCAGUGUAUAUUAAAAGAAAUGAAAUCGGAAUCGGCUAAAAUUGGUAUCGGCAGGUCAAAUGCUAUGAAAAAUCGGAAUAGGCCCAAAAAAUUGCAAUCGGUGAAUCUCUACUAUUCAAGGGAAU
Molecule: long non-coding RNA, 1016 nt
Organism: Alosa sapidissima (American shad)
Lineage: Eukaryota; Metazoa; Chordata; Actinopteri; Clupeiformes; Clupeidae
Exons: 3
Source: RefSeq, a predicted model, not a curated record